Molecule: ribosomal RNA, 494 nt
Filed under: uncultured bacterium
Lineage: Bacteria
Description: partial 16S ribosomal RNA
Rfam family: Bacterial small subunit ribosomal RNA
Source: RNAcentral
GAACGCUGGCGGCGUGCCUACUACAUGCAAGUCGAGCGAACAGACGAGGAGCUUGCUCCUCUGACGUUAGCGGCGGACGGGUGAGUAACACGUGGAUAACCUACCUAUAAGACUGGGAUAACUUCGGGAAACCGGAGCUAAUACCGGAUAAUAUAUUGAACCGCAUGGUUCAAUAGUGAAAGACGGUUUUGCUGUCACUUAUAGAUGGAUCCGCGCCGCAUUAGCUAGUUGGUAAGGUAACGGCUUACCAAGGCGACGAUGCGUAGCCGACCUGAGAGGGUGAUCGGCCACACUGGAACUGAGACACGGUCCAGACUCCUACGGGAGGCAGCAGUAGGGAAUCUUCCGCAAUGGGCGAAAGCCUGACGGAGCAACGCCGCGUGAGUGAUGAAGGUCUUCGGAUCGUAAAACUCUGUUAUUAGGGAAGAACAAAUGUGUAAGUAACUAUGCACGUCUAGACGGUACCUAAUCAGAAAGCCACGGCUAACUACGUG